This 181-nucleotide ribosomal RNA is filed under the name Aeromonas salmonicida subsp. salmonicida 01-B526. RNAcentral describes it as "partial 16S ribosomal RNA". It matches the Rfam family "Bacterial small subunit ribosomal RNA", at positions 224 to 404 of the family's 1533-position model. The record is from RNAcentral. Lineage: Bacteria; Pseudomonadati; Pseudomonadota; Gammaproteobacteria; Aeromonadales; Aeromonadaceae.
GAUGGGCAUGCGUUCUAUUAGUUAGUUGGAGUGGUAACGGCACCCCAAGACAGCGAUAGAUAGGGGCCCUGAGAGGGGGAUCCCCCACACUGGUACUGAGACACGGACCAGACUCCUACGGGAGGCAGCAGUGAGGAAUAUUGGACAAUGGGCGCAAGCCUGAUCCAGCCAUGCCGCGUGC